RNAcentral lists this ribosomal RNA (468 nucleotides) under uncultured bacterium. RNAcentral's name for it is "partial 16S ribosomal RNA". It matches the Rfam family "Bacterial small subunit ribosomal RNA", at positions 28 to 507 of the family's 1533-position model. The record is from RNAcentral.
GAUGAACGCUGGCGGCGUGCUUAACACAUGCAAGUCGAACGGAAAGGCCCUGCUUUUGUGGCGUUCUCGAUAGGCGAACGGGUGAGUAACACGUGUGUAACCUGCCCUUGAAUUUGGGAUAACUUCACGGAACUCGGGCUCAUACCGGGGAGGAGCUCUUGCUGCAUGGUGUGGGUUGGAAAGUUUCGGCGGUUCGGGAUGGUAUCGCGGGUUAUCAGCUUGUUGGUCUGGUAGUUGCUGACCAAGGCUUUGACGGGUAGCCGGCCUGGGAGGGUGAACGGCCACAAUGGGACUAAGAGACGGCCCAGAAUCCUACGGGAGGCAGCAGUGGGGAAUAUGGCACAAUGGGCGGAAGCCUGAUGCAGCAACGCCGCGUGCGGGAUGACGGCCUUCGGGUGAUAAACCGCUUUCGCCGGUGACGAAGCGUGAGUGACGGUAAUGGGUAAAGAAGCACCGGCUAACUACGUG